AACGAACGCUGGCGGCAUGCCUAACACAUGCAAGUCGAGCGCCCCGCAAGGGGAGCGGCAGACGGGUGAGUAACGCGUGGGAACACACCCUUUGGUUCGGAAUAACUCAGGGAAACUUGAGCUAAUACCGGAUACGUCCGUAAGGAGAAAGAUUUAUCGCCAAAGGAUUGGCCCGCGUCCGAUUAGCUAGUUGGUGAGGUAACGGCUCACCAAGGCUACGAUCGGUAGCUGGUCUGAGAGGAUGAUCAGCCACAUUGGGACUGAGACACGGCCCAAACUCCUACGGGAGGCAGCAGUGGGGAAUAUUGGACAAUGGGGGCAACCCUGAUCCAGCAAUGCCGCGUGAGUGAUGAAGGCCUUAGGGUUGUAAAGCUCUUUUGCCAGGGAAGAUGAUGACUGUACCUGGAGAAUAAGCCCCGGCUAACUUCGUGCCAGCAGCCGCGGUAAU
Molecule: ribosomal RNA, 448 nt
Filed under: uncultured bacterium
Lineage: Bacteria
Description: bacterial SSU rRNA
Rfam family: Bacterial small subunit ribosomal RNA
Source: RNAcentral